AGUGGCGGACGGGUGAGUAAAGCAUCGGGACCUACCCAGACGUGGGGGAUAACGUAGGGAAACUUACGCUAAUACCGCAUACGUCCUACGGGAGAAAGCGGGGGACCUUCGGGCCUCGCGCGGCUGGACGGACCGAUGUGCGAUUAGCUGGUUGGCGGGGUAAUGGCCCACCAAGGCGACGAUCGCUAGCUGGUCUGAGAGGAUGAUCAGCCACACUGGGACUGAGACACGGUCCAGACUCCUACGGGAGGCAGCAGUGGGGAAUAUUGGACAAUGGGCGCAAGCCUGAUCCAGCAAUGCCGCGUGUGUGAAGAAGGCCUUCGGGUUGUAAAGCACUUUUAUCGGGAGCGAAAUACCAUUGGCUAAUAACCGGUGGGGCUGACGGUACCCGAGGAAUAAGCACCGGCUAACUUCGUGCCAGCAGCCGCGGUAAUACGAAGGGUGCAAGCGUUAAUCGGAAUUACUGGGCGUAAAGGGUGCGUAGGCGGUUUGUUAAGUCUGUCGUGAAAUCCCCGGGCUCAACCUGGGAAUGGCGAUGGAAACUGGCAGGCUAGAGUGUGUCAGAGGAUGGUGGAAUUCCCGGUGUAGCGGUGAAAUGCGUAGAGAUCGGGAGGAACAUCAGUGGCGAAGGCGGCCAUCUGGGACAACACUGACGCUGAAGCACGAAAGCGUGGGGAGCAAACAGGAUUAGAUACCCUGGUAGUCCACGCCCUAAACGAUGCGAACUGGAUGUUGGUCUCAACUCGGAGAUCAGUGUCGAAGCUAACGCGUUAAGUUCGCCGCCUGGGGAGUACGGUCGCAAGACUGAAACUCAAAGGAAAUUGACGGGGGCCCGCACAAGCGGUGGAGUAUGUGGUUUAAUUCGAUGCAACGCGAAGAACCUUACCUGGCCUUGACAUGUCGCGAAUCCUGCAGAGAUGCGGGAGU
RNAcentral lists this ribosomal RNA (927 nucleotides) under uncultured bacterium. Its description in RNAcentral is "bacterial SSU rRNA". It matches the Rfam family "Bacterial small subunit ribosomal RNA", at positions 94 to 1015 of the family's 1533-position model. The record is from RNAcentral.